AACGAACGCUGGCGGCAGGCUUAACACGUGCAAGUCGAACGCCCCGCAAGGGGAGUGGCAGACGGGUGAGUAACGCGUGGGAAUCUACCCAUCCCUACGGAACAACUCCGGGAAACUGGAGCUAAUACCGUAUACGCCCUACGGGGGAAAGAUUUAUCGGGGAUGGAUGAGCCCGCGUUGGAUUAGCUAGUUGGUGGGGUAAAGGCCUACCAAGGCGACGAUCCAUAGCUGGUCUGAGAGGAUGAUCAGCCACAUUGGGACUGAGACACGGCCCAAACUCCUACGGGAGGCAGCAGUGGGGAAUAUUGGACAAUGGGCGCAAGCCUGAUCCAGCCAUGCCGCGUGAGUGAUGAAGGUCUUAGGAUUGUAAAGCUCUUUCACCGAUGAAGAUAAUGACGGUAGUCGGAGAAGAAGCCCCGGCUAACUUCGUGCCAGCAGCCGCCGUAA
RNAcentral lists this ribosomal RNA (447 nucleotides) under uncultured bacterium. RNAcentral's name for it is "partial 16S ribosomal RNA". It matches the Rfam family "Bacterial small subunit ribosomal RNA", at positions 29 to 523 of the family's 1533-position model. The record is from RNAcentral.